This 431-nucleotide long non-coding RNA is filed under the name Dromaius novaehollandiae (emu). RNAcentral's name for it is "lncRNA (ENSDNVG00000009607.1)". Lineage: Eukaryota; Metazoa; Chordata; Aves; Casuariiformes; Dromaiidae. The record is from RNAcentral.
UAAAAUGGAAGCACCUGACCAUACAAUGCCCAGCACUGAAGAAAAUAGAACAUAAAACCACACUACUUGAAAAAGGAAGUGAUGAAAAGGAUAGUGGUCUGGGAAAAAAAUGCUUUGAGAUGGCCAAAUGCAGAGCGGACCUUCCCUGAUUUUGAUCCGUGCAACUGAAUGAAAAUCACGGUACCAGUGAGAAUUGCAAGUUUGCUGAACCAGAAGUGAACACAACUGAAAUGCAGAGAAGGUGCCACAAAUUUGGAGGCAGCCCCCAGCUACACAGAUGUGGUCAUUGCAGACAAGCCUGCAGUCAAGAAUUUAAACUUUGAUAUCCAGGCAAGUUUGGCAGUCUUAUGUUUAUGACUGUUCCUUGUGAAAUGGGUGAAAUAAUGCAUGGAUAUGGAAACAUCAGGUAAGUGGCUACCAUGCAUCUAAAG